AGCUUUGCGCAGUGGCAGUAUCGUAGCCAAUGAGGUUUAUCCGAGGCGCGAUUAUUGCUAAUUGAAGUGGUAAGUCUUAAAGGAAAAAUCCAACAGUUUUAUCCCCCAUAAAAUGAAAAUUUUCUCUAUAUAGA
Lutra lutra (Eurasian river otter) is the source of this 134-nucleotide small nuclear RNA. RefSeq annotates it as U4 spliceosomal RNA. The transcript has a single exon. The record is from RefSeq and is a predicted model, not a curated record. NCBI's taxonomy places the organism in Eukaryota, Metazoa, Chordata, Mammalia, Carnivora, Mustelidae.